CACGUAGGGCGCAAGCGUGUCCGGAAUUAUUGGGCGUAAAGAGCUCGUAGGUGGUUUGUUACGUCUGCUGUGAAAACCUAGGGCUUAACCCCUGGGCUUGCAGUGGGUACGGGGCAGACUAGAGUGUGGUAGGGGAGACUGGAAUUCCUGGUGUAGCGGUGGAAUGCGCAGAUAUCAGGAGGAACACCGAUGGCGAAGGCAGGUCUCUGGGCCAUUACUGACACUGAGAAGCGAAAGCAUGGGGGAGCGAACAGG
This 255-nucleotide ribosomal RNA is filed under the name uncultured bacterium. RNAcentral describes it as "partial 16S ribosomal RNA". It matches the Rfam family "Bacterial small subunit ribosomal RNA", at positions 524 to 776 of the family's 1533-position model. The record is from RNAcentral.